GCGGGGAUAGCUUAGUUGGGAGAGCGUCAGAUUGAAGAUUGAAGGUCGGGUGUUCGAUCCACGCUCACCGCA
RNAcentral lists this transfer RNA (72 nucleotides) under Jatropha curcas. It matches the Rfam family "tRNA". Rfam says of the family: Transfer RNA (tRNA) molecules are approximately 80 nucleotides in length. Their secondary structure includes four short double-helical elements and three loops (D, anti-codon, and T loops). Further hydrogen bonds mediate the characteristic L-shaped molecular structure. tRNAs have two regions of fundamental functional importance: the anti-codon, which is responsible for specific mRNA codon recognition, and the 3' end, to which the tRNAs corresponding amino acid is attached (by aminoacyl-tRNA synthetases). tRNAs cope with the degeneracy of the genetic code in two manners: having more than one tRNA (with a specific anti-codon) for a particular amino acid; and 'wobble' base-pairing, i.e. permitting non-standard base-pairing at the 3rd anti-codon position. Lineage: Eukaryota; Viridiplantae; Streptophyta; Magnoliopsida; Malpighiales; Euphorbiaceae. The record is from Rfam by way of RNAcentral.